Molecule: long non-coding RNA, 1486 nt
Filed under: Ananas comosus (pineapple)
Lineage: Eukaryota; Viridiplantae; Streptophyta; Magnoliopsida; Poales; Bromeliaceae
Description: long non-coding RNA (ACOM_LNC013118)
Source: RNAcentral
GCCCGUUUGGUUCGAGUUAUGUAAUAUUACAAAGUAUCUCGACAUAUCCAGGUAUCUUGGAUUUCGGCGUGAGAUUACUACUAAUGCUGCAUUAGAGCGUUUGGUUUAAUACAGUAAUGUAAUACUAGAUUACAGUGUUUAUAGGAUUAAUAUGUUUGGUUCAGUUUAUAAAAUUUAGUAAUCCUGACAUAAAAGUAUAGUUUUUUCCAAAAUUGCCCUUGGUCAUUUGAAUAUUAUUUUUUGUGGAAAUGACGAAUGGAUGGAAGGAGAUCGUGAUGAUUACUUGGGAGGACGACGCAAUAGAAGAUGAUAGGUGUUCGUGCGAGAGAGAGAGAGAGAGAGAGAGAAAGCGAGAGAAAGCGGCAUGCGAGAGAGAGGGCCGGGGGAAGGCGAGAGAGAGAUGAAAAUAAUACCGUUAAUUAGAUUUGGGAUUGUUGGAGGGUAAAAUUGUCAUUUUACAUAAUAUGUAGUAUUAACGGGUUUCAGUAAUGUAAGAUACACGACCCCCCUCCCGUUAAUAUUUUCGAUGUAAUUCUGCUCGAUUUGUAAUCCUACAUUAACGAUUAGAUUACAUAGCGGAUUAACCAAACAUAGUUAUCCUGCCAGGAUUGCCUGUAAUCCUGCCAGGAUAACUCGAACCAAACGCACCCUUAAGGUAAAAAGUUUGGCCAAAUCUAAGUAUCUAUAUCUAUAUCCCCACAUGAAUUGGAAACCCAAAAGUGCGCAUGGCAGCCGCCUGCUCACUCCGGGGCCCAACUUUUCUCUCUCUCUCACACACACCCUACAAGCUUUUCUUUUCUUUUCUUUUCUUUUUUUCAAUUUCUUUUUUGUUUGUGCCUAUACUAUAUCAAUUCUAUUUUUUAAUAAUUAAUAUAAUAAAAUUAAAAUUUUAUACAGUAUAAAAAAAAUUAUACACCAAGUGUAUAAUACAUAUGUUCAUAUAUAAUUUAUAAUUAAUAAAAAAUAUAAACUUCAAAUAUCACUCAUGUGUUUUCACACUUUCUCACUUUUGUACUCUAUAUUUUAAAGUGUAUUAAAUUAGUAUCAUGUGCUUUCAUUUUUUUUUUCGUUAGCUCCUUUGUUAAUAUUUCGUUAAUAUGUAUUAGAAUUGAUCGAGUUUGAAUAUAAUUGCAGUUUGACUUAGGGUCAAAAUGAUUUGUUCUAAAGAUCAGUGCAGAGAAGAGGUUGGAUUGAUAUAGCCCCAUGAUCAUGACUUAGGAAAAAUGUUUGAUUUGGAUUUGGGUCACGUUCUAUAUGGUUUGAACUGGGUUAGAUUGGAAUUUUGAUUUUGAUUGAUAUGAUUUGGGCUAGAGAUAGCAUAUAGUAUGGAGUUUGAGAUUAGGCUUUUUAAUUGGGUUUUGGUUAUCCAGCAUUAUGGAUUUGGUUUGAGGUUGAUGGAUUGGUUUAAGUUCAGGAUUGGAUUUGGUUUUAGUUAUCAUCAUUUGGAGUUCUUGUCUGGGUUAGAUUUUGAUUAAUAUAGUUUUGG